CAGUCGACGAGCUUCCGUUGAUGACGUGCUUGCACUGAUUUNNNCAAUGAAGCGAGUGGCGAACUGGUGAGUAACACGUGGGAAAUCUGCCCAGAAGCAGGGGAUAACACUUGGAAACAGGUGCUAAUACCGUAUAACAACAAAAUCCGCAUGGAUUUUGUUUGAAAGGUGGCUUCGGCUAUCACUUCUGGAUGAUCCCGCGGCGUAUUAGUUAGUUGGUGAGGUAAAGGCCCACCAAGACGAUGAUACGUAGCCGACCUGAGAGGGUAAUCGGCCACAUUGGGACUGAGACACGGCCCAAACUCCUACGGGAGGCAGCAGUAGGGAAUCUUCCACAAUGGACGAAAGUCUGAUGGAGCAAUGCCGCGUGAGUGAAGAAGGGUUUCGGCUCGUAAAACUCUGUUGUUAAAGAAGAACACCUUUGAGAGUAACUGUUCAAGGGUUGACGGUAUUUAACCAGAAAGCCACGGCUAACUACGUGCCAGCAGCCGCGGUAAUACGUAGGUGGCAAGCGUUGUCCGGAUUUAUUGGGCGUAAAGCGAGCGCAGGCGGUUUUUUAAGUCUGAUGUGAAAGCCUUCGGCUUAACCGGAGAAGUGCAUCGGAAACUGGGAGACUUGAGUGCAGAAGAGGACAGUGGAACUCCAUGUGUAGCGGUGGAAUGCGUAGAUAUAUGGAAGAACACCAGUGGCGAANGCGGCUGUCUAGUCUGUAACUGACGCUGAGGCUCGAAAGCAUGGGUAGCGAACAGGAUUAGAUACCCUGGUAGUCCAUGCCGUAAACGAUGAGUGCUAAGUGUUGGAGGGUUUCCGCCCUUCAGUGCUGCAGCUAACGCAUUAAGCACUCCGCCUGGGGAGUACGACCGCANGGUUGAAACUCANGGAAUUGANGGGGCCCGCACAAGCGGUGGAGCAUGNNGGUUUAAUUCGAAGCUAC
RNAcentral lists this ribosomal RNA (934 nucleotides) under Levilactobacillus brevis. RNAcentral describes it as "bacterial SSU rRNA". It matches the Rfam family "Bacterial small subunit ribosomal RNA", at positions 59 to 960 of the family's 1533-position model. The record is from RNAcentral. Lineage: Bacteria; Bacillati; Bacillota; Bacilli; Lactobacillales; Lactobacillaceae.